GGAGACAGAGCAUCAAGGAAAGCUUCCUGGAGGAGAAGACAUGUGAACUGAUCUCCAAGGGAUGAGUGCAUAUUAUCCAAGAAGAGACCAAAAGCCUUUUCCAGCUUUCAAGUUCCCUGCGUUCUAGCUCUGUCUCUCUCCUCUCUCUUUGCUCCAGUGCCAUGGGCAUUCUUAGCUUCUUCGCUGUCCUUCAUGCCUAGGGCCAUCUGGAAUGCUCUUCCCUGUGUCUGGAGUUUCCCUCUAUGCCAGGCUGAUUCUUCUCCAUCCUUCAAACCUCAACUCACAUGUUAGUUUCUCAAGGAAGCCUUCCUUAGGCCCCUUCCGUGUGCUCCUCAGCAUCCUACACUUAGCCUUCAUUGCAUUCAUCAACAUUUUAAUUAAUAAUGAGUUGUGUAAUUGGUUGUUCACUCUCUGUUUUCCCUGCAAAAACACAAGCUCCACAAAAGCAGGCCCCAUGUGUGUCUUUUUAGACUCUCUCUGAGCACCUGGCAUAGGGGGAUACCCAGGGUAGAUUUUCAAUGGCUACUUGGUGGUGCAACAGCCUGGACAGGAGAUGAUGCGAAACUGAAGGAGGGCAGUGGGAGUAGGGAAGGGGGAGAGCCUGGAGAGAACGAUAAGAUGCGCGUUGGGAGGGCCAGGUCACACGUGUGAUGGGGAGGAGGGAAGGAGAAGUGAACAUGACUCGUGGAUUCACUGUCUCACUUAUCACUUUGGCUUGCUAAUUGUCAAAAAGCAGUGCCUUAUAUCUCUCUGUACUAUUUCAUUUAAAACACACUCCACAGCAAUUUAGUUACUGCUUUUUUGAUGUUUCAAAUGGAGAUUUGAGAGUUGUACGUACAGCUAUAUAUUAAAAGGUAUUUUGGUCAAGAACUUAAAUCUCAAGUGAAGUUGUCCAUCUUUGAAGGAGCAACUUGUCACUUCGUAGAUGGUGUCUCCAAGUUUUCACAGCCUAACUGAUGGUCCUGGAAGGCAUUUCAGUAAAUGUUUAUGUAAUUAGAGCAAUAUACCAAAUAUGAGGCAUAUCUCCUUAAGCGAAAGAGAUCUGGCUUGCCUUUCAGAGCCUUAGCAUCCACGCUGUGCUUUAUGGUGCCUCCUCGAAAAUUAGGAAGAGGCACCCGCCCUGGAUGGACCCAGCCUUGACUCCCGCCCUUGGCCAGGCGCCUGUGUGCAAGUUACAACCUGCUUAAACCUGUGCUAGUGUCCACAACUGUUGUCCGAAGUGUAACAGAAACAAAUAUGGUAGCAGGAAGCCCAGCACCCACUCACAGACACUUGUCACAACUUGAAUCCUCAGCAGUAUGUGCAAGACAAUGUCUCAGGAAGCCGACAAGAGAGCAGUGCCUAGAGCCACCGGCCCUGCCUCACUAAGACAGAAGGGGUUCCAACUCCACCUGCUGCCCCCAGUGCCUUCCUGGAAGCAGAGGAAGAAAUGGAAAAAAGAACAGGUGUAGGAAGAAAAGGGACAUGCCUUAGAGGGAAAAAUGUCUAUAAAAACUCUUCUUAUUACAACAAUGCAUAGUGGAGAAUAUUCGCAACAGAGGGAAAUGUGUAGGAGAGACGUACCUUUUGAAAUGCCCUGUAUCACAAAACUGGCCUUGAAUGCUUGAACUUGGAGAAACAGACAGGCAUCUCUGACAUUGGUGUAGUUCAGUUUUCCUCGACGGUCUUGGGUAAUAACAGGAUCCAAUAACUUGUACUUUCUCCUUUCUGAUGAAAAGACUUGAGCCCUUUGUCACUUGGCUAUUUUGGGAGCCCCAGGGGUACAUAAUCAAGUCUGGUUGGAAAACUGAGGCGAUGAAAAGUCUCCAAACUGGCUGAUGGUACAUCCGAGAUCCUUCAGGCCUGUGUACUCCUCAUACUGGGAAACAACGCCCAAGAAGCCAAGAGUGGAAACUUUAAAACCAUCUAUCCAGUAUUUAUUCCAUGUUCUUUUCUUUAGAAUUAAAGAUCUACAAAAUAUGAGAAUAAGCUAUAGAGCUUCAAGCGCCAAAUCCUUCUUGUGGCAAAACACAAAACUACAAAAUGAGUGAGUCAGCUCCCAGAGGCACUGGUCCCUGCCUCCGCCAGGACAGAAGCCCUCCUGGGCCACCGCGGUCAAUGGACAUUUCUCUUUCACAAGAACGCUCUUGGUGAAGGUACCUCUCUGGCCAGCACCCUGAUGGAGCGAAAACCUAAAAACAGAAAUCAGAAACUAUUGAACAAAGUGACCCCAAAUUUGUUUAAAGGCAACUAACUUGUGAUGCUCUCUGAUCCAAAAUAACAACUCCUGAAAUAAUUGCUAAUGUGUUUAAUGAGGUUGCAACGUUGGGUGGUCCAAAGUAGAGCCUAUGGAUGAGAAGAGAUGCAAGCAUCACCAUCAACACCAGCCCACAUGUAAGGGGCCCAGACAGCAGGUAAGGCUCUGAAGGAGACACGGAGCUCUAAGAAGCCCAGGUCGGAGGUCUUGCCCAUGAGAAGCUUACAUCUACUGAGUGGUCAAGGCACACACACAGUAAGAAAACGUCAUGCAGAAUCAACGUCCACCGAGUAUUAGAAGAAACAAAUCUUCAUCCACUCUGUUUCGGGAACAAAUUCUUUCGUCUUCCAGUUUGCUUCCUACCCUUUUCUUCAUUUUGCCUGAAUGUUCUGACCUUUGUGCUUAUUUAGCUUUGCUGAAUUACAUGCAUCUUAUUCAGCCACUUUAUUUCUUUUAGAGACAAGGUGGAGGAACUGUCAAAGGAAUAGGAGCAGUGCUGAGCCAGGAUACAAACAGCUCAUCAGUCAGGUUCUGUAAAAUCCCCACUCCGGCUCAGGUCAAGCCCUAACGCUCUCAUCUGCUGCCAGGAAGUCAUCCCUCACCAGCAUCAGAGCCCUCAGCGGCAUCAUAACCACUGGGUAAACAUUAAUCCCGUUGCUUAAAAUUCAGUUCCGAAGAACUACAUUAAGACCGCAACAGAGUUCUUUACACAAAAAAUAAACCAGGCAUCUCAAAACAUUUAAAACCAAACAGACGAUAAUGUUGCAACAUGACGGUUUGGACAUUUUCUGGGUCUAAUUUGCUUCUGAUUCACUGUUCCACGUUUUCUGAAAGGAUGUGUAUUUCUGUGCUGCAUGCGGCCUCCACGCUGUCCACAGCUCAACAGCAAACCAAAGACCUCACUCGCUCCCUCGUCCCCAGCCUACUAAAAUAGCGCCGUCUAAUCAGGUACCUCUCUGCAGGAAACAGGCCUUCCUACGCAGGAAGCACAGGAAAGAGGACUGGAGACAGCAGUCCCGCGGCUUUUCUGCCAAAAAGGACAAAAUGGCUCUUCUGGCAACUCCUGACUCAGGAAAUCACUGAAUUAAGUAGUCAGUCUGCAGAGUAAUUUAGCAUGUCAUCCGCUUCCUGGCAACAGUUAUUUGGAAGCAUUUAUAUUUUAAUUCAACUCUGUCAUCAUUGGGGUUAGAACUUCUUCUCUCAGGGGACCUCAAGAUCAGAGAUUUUCCUGCAGUUUCUACAGAGCCACUGCUUUUAGCUCUUCCUCCCUCUUUCCAGGCCACAGCAGCCUGGCCUCCCCUUUGACUGCCGUCUAGGUCAAGCUAACCCUUGUCUUCAGAGCUAAAUAUAAGUUGCAAGGCGGUGGGGGAGGCUCCUGCAGUGGUGUCCCUGGAAAAUGCACUUGUGAGUGUGCAGAAGAAUGAGGAUGCGACCGCACGCCCAGGAGCUGCAGCAUCGUCCGUGCUCUCUCGGGGACAGGGAACCGGACGAGAGGUCAGUAACGUGGGUUCCCCUUCUGGCCUCGUCAUGGACCUUCUGUGUAAUGCUGCACAAAUAAUUUUCCUCUCUGCUCCUCCACUUCUCCAUUUUUGGAGUGAACUUGACCAGUGCCAUCAUCUUCUUCAUUUGCAGACGUUAGAGACAGGCGAUGCCAUAAACCAUAAAUACCCUGCAUAUCACAAACAGCCCUCCCCAUGCACACAGUAGGAUCAGUUAACACAUGUUGUGGGGAAUAAGAAUCCUGCAUGUGGAUGAGCAGUUUCUUACAGCUGGUGAACACACGAACCCACAAAGUACCUAAAAGGAAAUCACAUAAAAUAUAAGCAGCAGGACCAUGUAAUUCUUACUAUACACAUAUAUUUGUGAUCUUUACCACUUGGGGAGAACGAUGGCUAAAUC
Equus caballus (horse) is the source of this 4135-nucleotide long non-coding RNA. The record is from Ensembl. Lineage: Eukaryota; Metazoa; Chordata; Mammalia; Perissodactyla; Equidae.